RNAcentral lists this ribosomal RNA (482 nucleotides) under uncultured bacterium. Its description in RNAcentral is "partial 16S ribosomal RNA". It matches the Rfam family "Bacterial small subunit ribosomal RNA", at positions 30 to 507 of the family's 1533-position model. The record is from RNAcentral.
AUUGAACGCUGGCGGCAUGCUUUACACAUGCAAGUCGAACGGUAACAGGCCGCAAGGUGCUGACGAGUGGCGAACGGGUGAGUAAUGCAUCGGAACGUGCACAGUCGUGGGGGAUAACUACUCGAAAGAGUAGCUAAUAGCGCAUACGAUCUAUGGAUGAAAGCGGGGGACCGUAAGGCCUCGCGCGAUUGGAGCGGCCGAUGUCAGAUUAGGUAGUUGGUGGGGUAAAGGCUCACCAAGCCAACGAUCUGUAGCGGGUCUGAGAGGACGACCAGCCACACUGGGACUGAGACACGGCCCAGACUCCUACGGGAGGCAGCAGUGGGGAAUUUUGGACAAUGGGCGCAAGCCUGAUCCAGCAAUGCCGCGUGCAUGAAGAAGGCCUUCGGGUUGUAAACUGCUUUUGUACGGAACGAAACGGCUCUGGUUAAUACCCGGGGCUAAUGACGGUACCGUAAGAAUAAGCACCGGCUAACUACGUG